RNAcentral lists this ribosomal RNA (497 nucleotides) under uncultured bacterium. Its description in RNAcentral is "partial 16S ribosomal RNA". It matches the Rfam family "Bacterial small subunit ribosomal RNA", at positions 28 to 507 of the family's 1533-position model. The record is from RNAcentral.
GAUGAACGCUGGCGGCGUGCCUAAUACAUGCAAGUCGAGCGAACAGACGAGGAGCUUGCUCCUCUGACGUUAGCGGCGGACGGGUGAGUAACACGUGGAUAACCUACCUAUAAGACUGGGAUAACGUCGGGAAACCGGAGCUAAUACCGGAUAAUAUAUUGAACCGCAUGGUUCCAUAGUGAAAGACGGUUUUGCUGUCACUUAUAGAUGGCUCCGCGCCGCAUUAGCUAGUUGGUAAGGUAACGGCUUACCAAGGCAACGAUGCGUAGCCGACCUGAGAGGGUGAUCGGCCACACUGGAACUGAGACACGGUCCAGACUCCUACGGGAGGCAGCAGUAGGGAAUCUUCCGCAAUGGGCGAAAGCCUGACGGAGCAACGCCGCGUGAGUGAUGAAGGUCUUCGGAUCGUAAAACUCUGUUAUUAGGGAAGAACAAAUGUGUAAGUAACUAUGCACGUCUUGACGGUACCUAAUCAGAAAGCCACGGCUAACUACGUG